Daucus carota subsp. sativus is the source of this 1789-nucleotide long non-coding RNA. RefSeq lists it as uncharacterized. NCBI's taxonomy places the organism in Eukaryota, Viridiplantae, Streptophyta, Magnoliopsida, Apiales, Apiaceae. The record is from RefSeq and is a predicted model, not a curated record. The transcript is spliced from 5 exons.
AAUAUAAAGGAGGGUCUUGAAUGGAUGACGUGUCAUGUCUUAGGAUCCUCCCUCUAAUUUUUCUCUUUUUCUAGCACUUCCGGAUUUUUGCUGUUUUCGUUUUAUUGAAACCCUUUUUUAAAAUCUCAUUAAUUAUUCAGUUACAGAAUUUUGGCUUUUCAUUUUGCACGAUCUUUUGCUUUCCAUGCCUUCAGAGCCAGUCUGAGCCAGUCUUCUCUCUCAAUCACUUUUAUCGUCACAGUCAUCACCUUUCUUCUAAGGGUUUUCAGUUCAUCUUUUCAUUAUGCAGAGGAGCCUCAUGAGGGUGAUCACUGUUGAAUGCGGCCUUGGUGCUUCAGAUACCUGUUUUCAUGAAUAUAAGAAGCUUUUUGGUUUAAAAGUCUGCUAUAAUGUUAUCAGCAAGUGAUUAGUGAUAUAUGGCAUCUUCCAAAAUCCUCCUUUUAGGCUUUUAGGUGAUAAGCCUCCGUUCUCACAGCAGAAUUUACAAGGCCAAGGAAUGGAUCCUGGUUAAGAUUCGGGACAAUGAAAGGUUAAUAUGAUCGGAUCGUCUGGUGACUCUUUACUGUCUAGCAGUAUAGUCUUGAUUAACCAUUGCCCAGUCAUCUCCGAGCAUAUGCACUGUAUGUGAAAAUAUUAUAACAACAACUUUUUCCGUGAUCUCUGUCUACUUAAAAAAGUAAUUACCCAGGUGGAGGCAGAUGAUCCUGCUACUAUUAAUGCCAUCAAAGUGUCUGCUGCUGUUCAACUCAAGGUUCUGCUCUUUCUUUUUAUAUUUAUCUACUUCUUUCUAUUCUUUUGUUUACUCUUAAAUUUUGUUUAAGUUGAUAGCUUUGCUGAUAUGGGUUCCGGAUUGAAUGUUGUGCCAUGUGACUUUUUUUGUUAGUUUUGUUUGAGUUGAUUGUUUUUGUGUAUGUGUGAUCUGAUUGUGUUAGAGGGAAGUUUUCAGAGCUAAAGUUGUUAUUUUCUUCACCACUUUCUAAUUGUUAGUAUAAAUUAUUAUUGUUUUUUACGGUGAUCAUAACCGCUGAUUUUCUGAGCCAGUAGGCUGAUUUUUCUUUCACGGAUGAUGAGUAAUUGAUUGUCGCAAACAAGUUCUGAUCUUUUCUUCAACUGGGCUUGGCUCAAGUUUGGGUUGUUUCCACUGUGUGUGUGUGUGUGUGCACGAGUGGUUUUUAACUUUGAGUGGUUACUAAAUUUAUAUUAUCAUUUUGGUCUUCUUGAGUUUUGUUCAUCAGAUAGGAUUUUAGGCUAAUUUAAAAAAGGCCUUUGUCUUUAUUACGGUUUGGGAGUUGGAUUUGGUUGGAACGUCCUAAUUUAUGGUAAUUUUAUGUUGACAUGAUUACAUGUUUGUUAAGUGAGUCAAGGUUUGUGUGGUCAAAUUCUAGAUUAAUUUGGAGAAAGAUUGAGGACUGUUGUGGAUUAUUCGGUGAUUUCAGUAUACAGAGCUUUGGGGUUUCUUAUGAAAUGUUAAUUUAUUUUGUGAGGGUCGAUUGAGUAGAGUGGAAUUUCAGUAUACAUGUGGUCACUGCAAAUCUCCCCAAAUUUUGACUAGAAGUUAAUAUUGAUUUAACUUAUUCAUUGGAAUUUAUAUUGGUUGGGGGACUAGAUUAUUGUAUUUGAAACUAUGGCCGUCUCUUUAACUAGAUUUUCUUGGUGGGUAUGGGGUGGAAAAGAGAAAGAGCCUGUUGUGCAUAAUGGUUCUUCACUGAACUCCUCUUCUGAUUGGGGUUUGGGGAUGAGGGAAAUGGAUUUUUUGGAAAUUUUCAUCUGCAAAGGGGGCUAAGAUGGC